ACGGGAGGCAGCAGUGGGGAAUAUUGGGCAAUGGGCGAAAGCCUGACCCAGCAACGCCGCGUGAAGGAAGAAGGUCUUCGGAUUGUAAACUUCUUUUAUGAGGGACGAAGGACGUGACGGUACCUCAUGAAUAAGCCACGGCUAACUACGUGCCAGCAGCCGCGGUAAUACGUAGGUGGCGAGCGUUAUCCGGAUUUACUGGGUGUAAAGGGCGCGUAGGCGGGGAUGCAAGUCAGAUGUGAGAUCUACGGGCUUAACUCAUAAACUGCAUCUGGAACUGUAUUUCUUGAGUGCUGGAGAGGUAGAUGGAAUUCCUUGUGUAGCGGUGAAAUGCGUAGAUAUAAGGAAGAACACCAGUGGCGAAGGCGAUCUACUGGACAGUAACUGACGCUGAGGCGCGAAAGCGUGGGGAGCAAACAGGAUUAGAUACCCUGGUA
This 437-nucleotide ribosomal RNA is filed under the name uncultured Oscillospiraceae bacterium. RNAcentral describes it as "bacterial SSU rRNA". It matches the Rfam family "Bacterial small subunit ribosomal RNA", at positions 341 to 792 of the family's 1533-position model. Lineage: Bacteria; Bacillati; Bacillota; Clostridia; Eubacteriales; Oscillospiraceae. The record is from RNAcentral.